Molecule: ribosomal RNA, 252 nt
Filed under: uncultured bacterium
Lineage: Bacteria
Description: partial 16S ribosomal RNA
Rfam family: Bacterial small subunit ribosomal RNA
Source: RNAcentral
ACGGAGGGUGCAAGCGUUAUUCGGAUUUACUGGGCGUAAAGGGCGCGUAGGCGGUCUGAUAAGUCAGAUGUGAAAGCCCGAGGCUCAACCUCGGAAGUGCAUCUGAAACUAUCAGACUUGAGUAUGGGAGAGGGAAGUGGAAUUCCUGGUGUAGCGGUGAAAUGCGUAGAUAUCAGGAGGAACACCGGUGGCGAAGGCGACUUCCUGGACCAAUACUGACGCUGAGGCGCGAAGGCGUGGGGAGCAAACAGG